Molecule: unclassified non-coding RNA, 245 nt
Filed under: uncultured Nectriaceae
Lineage: Eukaryota; Fungi; Ascomycota; Sordariomycetes; Hypocreales; Nectriaceae
Description: sequence contains ITS2
Rfam family: 5.8S ribosomal RNA (bases 1-52)
Source: RNAcentral
AACGCAUAUUGCGCCCUCUGGUAUUCCGGAGGGCAUGCCUGUUCGAGCGUCAUUUCAACCCUCAAGCCCAGCUUGGUGUUGGGAGCUGCAGUCCUGCUGCACUCCCCAAAUACAUUGGCGGUCACGUCGAGCUUCCAUAGCGUAGUAAUUUACAUAUCGUUACUGGUAAUCGUCGCGGCCACGCCGUUAAACCCCAACUUCUGAAUGUUGACCUCGGAUCAGGUAGGGAUACCCGCUGAACUUAA